CAGUCGCCACGGUAAAACGUAGGGUGCAAGCGUUAAUCGGAAUUACUGGGCGUAAAGCGUGCGCAGGCGGUUAUAUAAGACAGAUGUGAAAUCCCCGGGCUCAACCUGGGAACUGCAUUUGUGACUGUAUAGCUAGAGUACGGCAGAGGGGGAUGGAAUUCCGCGUGUAGCAGUGAAAUGCGUAGAUAUGCGGAGGAACACCGAUGGCGAAGGCAAUCCCCUGGGCCUGUACUGACGCUCAUGCACGAAAGCGUGGGGAGCAAACAGGAUUAGAGACCCCUGUAGUCCCUGUCUCUUAUAC
RNAcentral lists this ribosomal RNA (301 nucleotides) under uncultured bacterium. RNAcentral's name for it is "partial 16S ribosomal RNA". It matches the Rfam family "Bacterial small subunit ribosomal RNA", at positions 509 to 807 of the family's 1533-position model. The record is from RNAcentral.